CAUGCCAGGUGUUGUAACACAGGUAUAUAUAAAGGAGCAUUCUGUCUGCAGGGAUCACAGCUCAACGCAGCAGAACCCAAUAAAGGCACGGAGCCUAUUGAAUCCACAGUUACUCGUCGUUUGACCAAGUUGUUUUCCAUCUGAAGCAAUAGUUAUAAAAACAUUUCUCAUAUAUAAAGGCCUGUUACUCAUCGUUUGACCAAGUUGUUUUCCAUCUGAAGCAAUAGUUACAAAUAAUUGCUCUCAUAUAUAAAGGCCUGAUCACAACUUCAAGAAUGUUUCCAAAAUUCUCUUUUCUCCUGAUAUUUGCAGUUGUUUUGAGUCUCACCCAUAAGUCCUUAUGUCAAAACUGGGAAACAUUUCAGAAGAAACACCUGACAAAAGACCGGGAUAUUAAAUGUGAUAAUAUCAUGUCAAAAACCUUGUUCAACUGCAAGGACACAAACACUUUUAUCUUUUCACUUCCUGGGCCAGUGAAGGCCCUCUGUAGAGGAAUUAAAGACUCCAAAAAUGUG
Long non-coding RNA from Rana temporaria (common frog), 515 nucleotides. RefSeq lists it as uncharacterized. Lineage: Eukaryota; Metazoa; Chordata; Amphibia; Anura; Ranidae. The transcript has 4 exons. The record is from RefSeq and is a predicted model, not a curated record.